Molecule: ribosomal RNA, 468 nt
Filed under: uncultured bacterium
Lineage: Bacteria
Description: partial 16S ribosomal RNA
Rfam family: Bacterial small subunit ribosomal RNA
Source: RNAcentral
GACGAACGCUGGCGGCGUGCUUAACACAUGCAAGUCGAACGAACAGGCGCUGCUCUUGCGGGGUGCUCGAGUGCCGAACGGGGGAGUAACACGCGAGUAACAUGCCCUUGUCUUUGGGAUAACUUCUGGAGACUGGGGCUCAUACCGCAUAGGAUCUCCUGCUGCAUGUUGGUGGUUGGAAAGAUUCGGCGGUGUUGGAUGGACUCGCGGCUUAUCCGCUUGUUGGGGGGGUAGUGGCUUACCAAGGUUGUGACGGAUAGGCGACCUGGGAGGGGUACCGGCCACAAUGGGCCUGCGAGACGGACCAGACGCCUACGGGCGGCAGCAGGGGGGAAUAUUACACAAUGGCCGGACGCCUGAUGCAGCAACGCCGCGUGCGGGAUGACGGCCUUCGAGUUGUAAACCGCUUUCUACGGUGACGAAGCGUGAGUGACGGUAAUGGGUCAAAAAGCAACGGCUAACUACGUG